CUGCAAUAGAAUUGAAAACUGCAGCCCCUUCACUGGAGAAUGUGCAGAGAAUUUACAGUGUUCUCAGGAAAACGUGGCACAGCAAUGCCAAAAAGGAGUGAUCAAUAUGAAAUGCCCAGAGGACCCUGGGUGGUGGUACUGGAAUGGCAGCUGUUAUUAUAUGGAAGAAACUAAUAGUUUGACCUGGCUGGAAGCUAAGAAUUACUGCACUGCAUAUAAUGGCACUGACCUACUAUUGCUGGAUAGUGCAGAAGAAAAGGCCUGGGUAACCUCUGUGUUACAGAAACCUGUUUGGAUUUUCUCGUUGGGUGCCUUGCAAAGUGAUGUGGAGAAAUCAAGCAGGAAGAAUCAACGUGUCAUGUAAGGCGACCGUGCUGAUUUCAUAAACAUGGGGGUUAAACAGACUACACAUCUAAUGGGCUUUUUAAAACACUUUUCACCCCAAGCGCCAGAUCCGUAGCUGAUGUAAAUUGUCAUAACUCCAUUG
RNAcentral lists this long non-coding RNA (487 nucleotides) under Chrysemys picta bellii (western painted turtle). RNAcentral's name for it is "lncRNA (ENSCPBG00000019045.1)". The record is from RNAcentral. Lineage: Eukaryota; Metazoa; Chordata; Testudines; Emydidae.